GAUCUGUGGAGAAUUACCAGAGACUUUAUCUAACACAAAAACAGGAAGGGAAACGGUGACAGGAUAAACUGAAAGGAGCCUGUUGGGAGAAGUUGUAGUAGUCCGAUGAAAACAAAAUCGUGAGCAAUAUGUUUGGCUCAGAAAACAAAACGCAUCAUUGAAGGAACUCUAUACCCACCAUGGUAGUGGCAGCAUCAUGCUCUGAGGUCGCAUUUUUUCAGUCAUCUGAGGAAGUUGUGAAACCCUAAAACAGUAAAAAUGUAAAUAGAAGAAUUACCUUUUAAGAGUGAACUUUAAGACAUGACAUGAUGAUUCAGAUUUUGACUUCUUAAGCAGAUUUGGUUAUCUUUAAAGCUAAGGAAUAUUUUUCCUCUCUAAACUUUCCUGAAGCUUUUAUCUGCAGCAAAUAAUGAUUCUCCUGCUGCAACAUUGAAUAAUUCCAUCAUUGCACCCGCUUCGUCUUUUAAUAAAUCACAUUGUAAAUCGUCUGUUAGAUAAAGAGUGGGUGUGAUUCCUAAUCUUCGCGAGCAGUUAAUCGCCCCCAGAAAUGUACGAGUUGAAACGACCGCGAUCUUGAAAGGCCAUCAUCAUGUUCGAGAGCCAGAAAACGGUUAAAAAUAAAACGGAAGUAAAUCACAAAAGGUCUUUCCAUUGUUCAUAUUCACAACCACAGCAGUGAGGAGCAGACUGCAACCAAGAUGCACACACCUUGGCCAGAACCGAGCCAGACUUUAACUGGCUGGAGUGAGACUUUGAGUGAGAAGCGGCAUUAGUAAUCACACUCCUCAGUUUUUUGGGACUUUUCAGUUUUGCUGGAUUCUACUCUUGCUCUAGCUCUGGCUCUUGUGUUGAUUUUUUUCUUUAAGUUUCCCAUUAUUCCAUUAUUAAACCUGUCGUCACACACUCCAUCAUGCGCCUCCAAAUGUCCUGCUGCCGUUUGAGCACUCGUCAACAAACCUCAGACGUGACAGUUUUCGUCCCGAGCAAUCAUUCAUCACCGUGCAGACUUUAAAUCCCUGCUUUUCAAUCGCUGGGCAGGCUGCCGGUUUGUUGGGCCUUAAGAAGCAGCGACUUCUUUUGAGCUCAUGUUCUUCACCGCAUAAAUCAUUAAAUAAAUCCUCACUUUUAUGUACUCAAAUUCAAGCUGGAGAUUUUAUGACUAGUAUUUUUCUGGGUGGAAGCUGUGAUACGCAUUGACGUCCAAGUUCUGCAUUCCAGAUGUAGCAUCAUCGCCGGUCAGCAUCUUUUUGUAACCUUGUAAUAACAGUUUAUAUAUGAUUUUUCUAGAAGUCAGACAGCGAAAUAAAACUGAACUUACCUAUGAGUUCUGAACACUUGAGAAGAACUGUAAAAAUGAUACGCUCCCUUUACAUAUAUCACUAAAUUUAGUGUCUUUGACAGCUAAAGAUUCAAUGUUCUGAGAAAUUUAUACUGACUGCAUAUGAGCUCCAAAUACGUAGCUCGUAAAUGAAUUCCCAUGAUGUAAAGAUUUUCAGAGGUGCUCUAAAAGCAACUCUUUAGUACAAAACGUAAAACUUGUUUCAUUUAUGACAUGCCUCCCAGCAUAUACAAAAGGUUGAAUAAAACUUUUAUUUUUGAAGCACAACAAAAAUUGUACACAUUCUUUGUUUUACACAUUCACUUUUAACCUUGAUAAUAAAAAAAAAAGUUAUGAACUGACUGGAUUAUGGUAUAUGGCAAAAAAGUGUUCAUAUCUCUCAAACGUUUUCAUAUUUUGUCAAGUUAUAACCAUAAACCUGAAUAUGUUAUCGGGAUUAUACAAAAUACAAUGCAAUUACUUGCAAAAUGUAGUUAUAAAACUGACAAGUGUUGCAUAUUAUAACAAAUUAAAUAUCAACAAAAUGCAUCGACGUUUGUAGAU
This is a non-coding RNA of Poecilia reticulata (guppy), 1882 nucleotides long. The record is from RefSeq and is a predicted model, not a curated record. NCBI's taxonomy places the organism in Eukaryota, Metazoa, Chordata, Actinopteri, Cyprinodontiformes, Poeciliidae.